GACGCAACUUAUGUACACCGAAAUGUAUUCAAUAAUCAAUUAUAUGUGAUAAAUAAUUUGUUAUAUCAACUAACUAUUGAUAGAAAUAGUUUAUAAAGUGUGAUUUUUUUUCUUUAUUUUCUUGUAAUUAAUAAUUCACAGUAAAGCAACAAAAGCAAAGUGAAAAUAAUUUAUAAUAUAAAUAUACAUGUUAAAAUGACUCCAAGUUAUUUUUGCUUACGUUACGUACUUUUGAGUUGCUUCAUUUUGCUCGGAAUUUUAGGUACAAUAAUUUGUACAAUAAGUAGUUUUUUUAUUUAUCAACUACACGAGCAUAACUAUCUUACUUCUAGUAAUGACACUUUACUACUUGAUUAUGUUAAAGGAUCAUCAUCAUCUGCAAUUAUAUUAAUUAUUAUAGGAAUACUAAUAUUUGCAUUUUCCAUAUAUUUCUGGUAUAUUAUUGACUAUAAAUAUAACCGUCGACAAAUAAUGACGUUUUUGUCAACUAUUAUAUUAAUCUUUAUUAUAAAAGUUACCACUGGUAUAUGGGUACUGAUAAUACAUGAAAAAUUGGGUACGUUAUUAUUAGCGGGUUUGAAGAAAACAUUGGCAGUACCAAAAUUUAGUAUAUAUAUAAAAGAAACUUUUUUACAAUCACCAUUAUUUAAUAAUAAUCCAGAUAAAAUAAAGCUAAUUUGUUGUGGAUAUAAUGAAACGUCAACAUCUGAAUUGGAAGAAUUAACAUCUUGGUUCUGUUGUAAUUUUAAAAGACUAAAUAAUGAAUCAAGAAUUAUAUGCGAAAAUAUAUAUGGAAAAGAAUGCUGGCAUUUAGCAAUACAUUCGAUUCGUUCAAUACUUUUUCAUAUUUUUUUAUUAAUCCUUUGUUCAAUUAUUAUACAGAUUUUAAUUAUUACAAGCAUAAUUUAUUGUAUUAAAAUUAUCAAGAAAAAAAAUGUAUCAAAACGAAUUGAAUGUACUUUGCAAAAACCUUCAGCUCCACCUACAAAUACGUAUAUUACAAAUUAGUGCUGGAUCAAACGAUUUAUUAUUUUAAUAAUAAUUUAAUAUAAACUUUAUUUGAAAUCUUAUUCAUCUCGUAUCGCUGAUGGAGUUCUUGGUAUUACGACGGAUGAUGUCAUUACAUAUUUUUUGUUAUCUGAUUUUAUGAAUCAUAUAUUUUUGGUAAUCUAUAAAAAAUAAUCUCAUCUAAAACUUUGAAUUAUUAAUUAUGAAUAAAAUAAAAACUAAAGCAACAACUAUUUAACAUUCAAUAGUGUAUUAAAAUAAUAAUAUGUAUACGUACACGCAAUAAUUAAAAGAUGAC
This is a long non-coding RNA of Microplitis demolitor, 1306 nucleotides long. RefSeq lists it as uncharacterized. NCBI's taxonomy places the organism in Eukaryota, Metazoa, Arthropoda, Insecta, Hymenoptera, Braconidae. The record is from RefSeq and is a predicted model, not a curated record. The transcript has 6 exons.